GCUAGCGGCAGGCCUAAUACAUGCAAGUCGAGGGGUAACAGGAAGUGCUUGCACUUCGCUGACGACCGGCGCACGGGUGAGUAACGCGUAUACAAUCUGCCUCAUACUAGAGGAUAGCCCGAAGAAAUUUGGAUUAAGACUCUAUAGUAUCAUUUAAAGACAUCUUUUUAUGAUUAAAGGUUACGGUAUGAGAUGAGUAUGCGUUCUAUUAGUUUGUAGGUGAGGUAACGGCUCACCUAGACUGCGAUAGAUAGGGGCCCUGAGAGGGGGACCCCCCACACUGGUACUGAGACACGGACCAGACUCCUACGGGAGGCAGCAGUAAGGAAUAUUGGUCAAUGGACGAAAGUCUGAACCAGCCAUGCCGCGUGCAGGAUGAAUGCCCUAUGGGUUGUAAACUGCUUUUAUAUAGGAAGAAAAACUUUCUCGUGAGAAAGCUUGACGGUACUAUAAGAAUAAGGAUCGGCUAACUCCGUGCCAGCAGCCGCGGUAAUACGGAGGAUCCAAGCGUUAUCCGGAAUUAUUGGGUUUAAAGGGUCCGUAGGUGGAUAAUUUAGUCAGAGGUGAAAUCCUGCAGCUUAACUGUAGAAUUGCCUUUGAUACUGGUUAUCUUGAGUUAUUAUGAAGUGAUUAGAAUGUGUAGUGUAGCGGUGAAAUGCAUAGAUAUUACACAGAAUACCGAUUGCGAAGGCAGAUCACUAAUAAUCAACUGACACUGAGGGACGAAAGCGUGGGUAGCGAACAGGAUUAGAUACCCUGGUAGUCCACGCCGUAAACGAUGGUCACUAGCUGUUUGGACUUCGGUCUGAGUGGCUAAGCGAAAGUGAUAAGUGACCCACCUGGGGAGUACGUCGC
This 855-nucleotide ribosomal RNA is filed under the name uncultured Flavobacteriaceae bacterium. RNAcentral's name for it is "bacterial SSU rRNA". It matches the Rfam family "Bacterial small subunit ribosomal RNA", at positions 35 to 889 of the family's 1533-position model. The record is from RNAcentral. Lineage: Bacteria; Pseudomonadati; Bacteroidota; Flavobacteriia; Flavobacteriales; Flavobacteriaceae.